AGAUGGGAUUUCACCAUGAUGCCCAGGCUGGUCUAGAACUCCUGGACUCAAGCAAUCCACCCGCCUUGGCCUCCCAAAGUGCUAAUAUUACAGGCAUGAGCUACCGCAUAUGGCCAAUUUUCUAAAUUCUUAAAUGUGAUUCUUUGGCAGUGUUGUUUUGUGACCAAAAAUAAAAUGGUUCCUAGAAAUAAACACAUCACCUAUUUCAUAAUAAAAAGGA
Molecule: non-coding RNA, 220 nt
Filed under: Pongo abelii (Sumatran orangutan)
Lineage: Eukaryota; Metazoa; Chordata; Mammalia; Primates; Hominidae
Source: RNAcentral